GCCCUGCGGAGGAUCAUUACCUAGAGUUGUAGGCUUUGCCUGCUAUCUCUUACCCAUGUCUUUUAAGUACCUUACGUUUCCUCGGCGGGUCCGCCCGCCGAUUGGACAAUUUAAACCAUUUGCAGUUGCAAUCAGCGUCUGAAAAAACUUAAUAGUUACAACUUUCAACAACGGAUCUCUUGGUUCUGGCAUCGAUGAAGAACGCAGCGAAAUGCGAUAAGUAGUGUGAAUUGCAGAAUUCAGUGAAUCAUCGAAUCUUUGAACGCACAUUGCGCCCCUUGGUAUUCCAUGGGGCAUGCCUGUUCGAGCGUCAUUUGUACCUUCAAGCUCUGCUUGGUGUUGGGUGUUUGUCUCGCCUCUGCGUGUAGACUCGCCUCAAAACAAUUGGCAGCCGGCGUAUUGAUUUCGGAGCGCAGUACAUCUCGCGCUUUGCACUCAUAACGACGACGUCCAAAAGUACAUUUUUACACUCUUGACCUC
RNAcentral lists this ribosomal RNA (480 nucleotides) under fungal endophyte sp. M11-3142. RNAcentral describes it as "eukaryotic LSU rRNA". The stretch from base 160 to 313 matches the Rfam family "5.8S ribosomal RNA". Lineage: Eukaryota; Fungi. The record is from RNAcentral.